This is a non-coding RNA of Vicia faba (fava bean), 183 nucleotides long. NCBI's taxonomy places the organism in Eukaryota, Viridiplantae, Streptophyta, Magnoliopsida, Fabales, Fabaceae. The record is from the annotation of a GenBank genome assembly.
AUGAUUCAUCUCAACCUUCGCCGCAAGCUAUUCACAGCAUACAACACCACAACGUUUCCGCUAACCACCUCCAUCCAAUUCCUCCUUCCGCGUGCGUAUACUCCCUCUAUUUCACUGGCUUCACCUUUUUGUUUUAUCAUUAGUUUAUUCUUUUUCUUUUUCUUUUUAAUAUUAUUGUUAUAA